GGCACCUUGGCGGAGUGGUUACGCAGGGGUCUGCAAAACCUCGUACACCGGUUCAAUUCCGGUAGGUGCCUCCA
This 74-nucleotide transfer RNA is filed under the name Candidatus Saccharimonadota bacterium. RNAcentral describes it as "tRNA-Cys". It matches the Rfam family "tRNA". Rfam says of the family: Transfer RNA (tRNA) molecules are approximately 80 nucleotides in length. Their secondary structure includes four short double-helical elements and three loops (D, anti-codon, and T loops). Further hydrogen bonds mediate the characteristic L-shaped molecular structure. tRNAs have two regions of fundamental functional importance: the anti-codon, which is responsible for specific mRNA codon recognition, and the 3' end, to which the tRNAs corresponding amino acid is attached (by aminoacyl-tRNA synthetases). tRNAs cope with the degeneracy of the genetic code in two manners: having more than one tRNA (with a specific anti-codon) for a particular amino acid; and 'wobble' base-pairing, i.e. permitting non-standard base-pairing at the 3rd anti-codon position. The record is from RNAcentral. RNAcentral also lists the same sequence under 1 other name. Lineage: Bacteria; Candidatus Saccharimonadota.